UGCGCAGGCGGGCAUUUAAGUCAGUGGUGAAAUACUGCCGCUUAACGGUAGAACUGCCAUUGAUACUGAAUGUCUUGAGUAUGGUUGAGGUAGGCGGAAUGUGUAGUGUAGCGGUGAAAUGCAUAGAUAUUACACAGAACUCCGAUUGCGAAGGCAGCUUACUAAGCCAUAACUGACGCUGAGGCACGAAAGCGUGGGGAGCGAACAGGAUUAGAUACCCUGGUAGUCC
This 229-nucleotide ribosomal RNA is filed under the name uncultured bacterium. RNAcentral's name for it is "partial 16S ribosomal RNA". It matches the Rfam family "Bacterial small subunit ribosomal RNA", at positions 568 to 796 of the family's 1533-position model. The record is from RNAcentral.